This 374-nucleotide ribosomal RNA is filed under the name uncultured organism. Its description in RNAcentral is "partial 16S ribosomal RNA". It matches the Rfam family "Bacterial small subunit ribosomal RNA", at positions 527 to 896 of the family's 1533-position model. The record is from RNAcentral.
GUAGGUGGCAAGCGUUGUCCGGAAUUAUUGGGCGUAAAGCGCGCGCAGGUGGUUCUUUAAGUCUGAUGUGAAAGCCCCCGGCUCAACCGGGGAGGGUCAUUGGGAAACUGGGGAACUUGAGUGCAGGAGAGGAAAGUGGAAUUCCACGUGUAGCGGUGAAAUGCGUAGAUAUGUGGAGGAACACCAGUGGCGAAGGCGACUUUCUGGCCUGUAACUGACACUGAGGCGCGAAAGCGUGGGGAGCAAACAGGGAUUAGAUACCCUGGUAGUCCACGCCGUAAACGAUGAGUGCUAAGUGUUGGGGGGGUUUCCCGCCCCUCAGUGCUGCAGCUAACGCAUUAAGCACUCCGCCUGGGGAUACGGUCGCAAGACUG